RNAcentral lists this ribosomal RNA (254 nucleotides) under uncultured bacterium. RNAcentral's name for it is "partial 16S ribosomal RNA". It matches the Rfam family "Bacterial small subunit ribosomal RNA", at positions 524 to 776 of the family's 1533-position model. The record is from RNAcentral.
UACAGGGGGGGGCAAGCGUUGUUCGGAAUUACUGGGCGUAAAGGGCCAGUAGGCGGCCAACUAAGUCCGACGUGAAAUCCCCAGGCUUAACCUGGGAACUGCGUCGGAUACUGGAUGGCUUGAGUGUGGGAGAGGGAUGCGGAAUUCCAGGUGUAGCGGUGAAAUGCGUAGAUAUCUGGAGGAACACCGGUGGCGAAGGCGGCAUCCUGAACCAUUACUGACACUGAAAAGCGAAAGCCAGGGGAGCAAACGGG